CCUACGGGAGGCAGCAGUGGGGAAUUUUUCGCAAUGGGCGCAAGCCUGACGAAGCAACGCCGCGUGGGGGAUGAAGGCCUUCGGGUCGUAAACCCCUGUCGACCGGGACGAAACCAGUCCGACCUAAUACGUCGGGCUGUUGACUGUACCGGUGGAGGAAGCCACGGCUAACUCUGUGCCAGCAGCCGCGGUAAUACAGAGGUGGCAAGCGUUGUUCGGAAUUACUGGGCGUAAAGGGCGCGUAGGCGGUUCGUUAAGUCCCGCGUGAAAUCCCCCGGCU
This 280-nucleotide ribosomal RNA is filed under the name uncultured bacterium. RNAcentral describes it as "partial 16S ribosomal RNA". It matches the Rfam family "Bacterial small subunit ribosomal RNA", at positions 338 to 609 of the family's 1533-position model. The record is from RNAcentral.